AUGUGGCAUUUCACUCUGACCCCACCUCGCUUCCCUUUCUGAACCAAUACGUGAUGAAUACAGAGACCAAUCCUCCCAUACGUAUUCAGAGACAAGCGGCUACCCAUACCUAUACUGUGGUCACGACCCCGCCAUGUGGGAGGAGCAAACCAUUCAAAAUUUGAAUCGGCUCCCAGUUCCUGACCGCAGCUCAAGAGCUCGGAGAGAAAUCCCCAAAAGAUCUUCCGUCCGUCGAUGGAGCGGCCGCCGCCAGGGAUGUACCCCGCGCCGGAAUCCUUCACCCAAAUUCCUUCUAAGCUUCUCCUCCAUCCCUUCUCAAGAUCCAAAUCUCGGUUGGACCCAGCUAGAAGAACAAGAGGAGGUGGGUGUGGCAGAUUUGACGGAUAGCGGAAACCAUUGCGGGGGCGGGAUCGACACCGAGCAUCAAUUCCAGUUCUCUGCCACGAGACCAGAUCCAACUUCCUCGAUUGCUGAGGCCGACGGCGAGGUGAGUUGUGAGAACUACGAUCUCCAGCUCUGCUCGCCACCGCGAGAUUUCCAUGGAUACACUUGGCCAGGAGAUGAAUGCUUGGAGUCGCCGCUGUCAGAGAUUCAGACACCUUAGUCUCCUGUCGAAGAACAGCAAACCACCACGCUUGACAGUAGCUCAAUCAGACCAAUCUGAUCCUGACCAAUGUCCAUGGAAGAGAAGGAUACAUCGUGGGAAAAUACCAGAUCAGCGUCAGCCUAAACAGGGAAGUGUAUGUGCGCUUGAAAAAGCAAUGCGUAGCUUUGUUCAAAGGAAGUCUGGACAAGUGGUUUCCCCUGAGAUUGAAAGAGAGUGUGACUCAUUCGCAGAGGCAUUUGAAUUUUACAACCUUUAUUCCUGGGAGAUUGGGUUUGGCAUCCGAUAUGGUCAAUCUAGGACAAAUGCACAGAAAAGCAAAACCAGUCAAGACAUCGUUUGCGGUUGUGCGGGAAGGCCAAAGAAAGAAAACACCAAGUCAGUAGCCUAUACCCUUACCGUCGCGAUUUGAAGGCCUCCGACCAGAUCUUCCUCCCAACCACGACUUGGGUUGCGCGGCCCCGGGCUUUGCUGGCGUGCUGGCAGUCGAGCGAGCCCCACCACGGCGACAAGCCGACGACCAUCACAUUCUCCUUCGCGUCCUACGGCCGGAUCCACCCGGUGCGACUACCUACAGGCCGGUGUGGUGGAUCUUAUUUACGUUUACGUUACCACUGGACGAAACGAACAACUCCGGAUCAUGUAUAACUCGAGACAUGCAAUUUUGUUGUCGGUGUCAUGGAUUUUUCAUAAUUUGUUUGUUUCUUCCAGCUCUCCUUUCUACCUGCAUACUUCUGUCUUCUUCUUUUUAUAUAAAACUCCAGUGCUACAACGAUGGAUCUUGGAUCUUGUAGAAUGCCAUCACUUGCGACUUUUGUUGCCAGUCGUUAGGUGAUAUGGAUUUGUGCUACAGGUACAGGCCGGAGACCUCAGAUCUUAUUUUCUGGUCUGACUUCGUAUUCUCAUGUGUGCAUCCCUCCGGCCGCUGCUGUCCAAGAAAAUUGAUGCAUGUAUGCGCUCUCAUGUGUGCAUAUCCAUAUUCUUGUAUGCCUAGUAUAUCUUUCUUUUAAG
Long non-coding RNA from Triticum urartu, 1615 nucleotides. RefSeq lists it as uncharacterized. NCBI's taxonomy places the organism in Eukaryota, Viridiplantae, Streptophyta, Magnoliopsida, Poales, Poaceae. The record is from RefSeq and is a predicted model, not a curated record.